Molecule: ribosomal RNA, 462 nt
Filed under: Eubazus (Aliolus) sp. 8 BJS-2011
Lineage: Eukaryota; Metazoa; Arthropoda; Insecta; Hymenoptera; Braconidae
Description: partial 28S ribosomal RNA
Rfam family: Eukaryotic large subunit ribosomal RNA
Source: RNAcentral
CCUAAAGGCGUAAUGAAAGUAAAGAUUGUCCUUKCGACAAUUAAGGGAGGAUGAGUUGCGUUACGAUGCUACUCCGCACUCCCGGGGCGUCUCGUUCUUAUUACAAGAAGAGGCGCACCUAGAGCGUACACGUUGGGACCCGAAAGAUGGUGAACUAUGCCUGGUCAGGAUGAAGUCAGGGGAAACCCUGAUGGAGGUCCGUAGCGAUUCUGACGUGCAAAUCGAUCGUCGGAACUGGGUAUAGGGGCGAAAGACUAAUCGAACCAUCUAGUAGCUGGUUCCCUCCGAAGUUUCCCUCAGGAUAGCUGGCACUCGUGUGAACGAGUCUCAUCUGGUAAAGCGAAUGAUUAGAGGCCUUGGGGCCGAAACGACCUCAACCUAUUCUCAAACUUUAAAUGGGUGAGAUCUCUGGCUUGSUUGAAUAUAUGAAGCCAUGAGAGAUCSGAUNNRAAUGNCNARNGG